UACGGGGGUGGCAAGCGUUGUUCGGAAUUACUGGGCGUAAAGGGCGCGUAGGCGGUCUGCUAAGUUGGAUGUGAAAACUCUGGGCUUAACCCAGAGCCUGCAUUCAAUACUGACAGGCUAGAGUUCUGGAGGGGAUAGCGGAAUUCCUGGUGUAGCGGUGAAAUGCGUAGAUAUCAGGAGGAACACCGGUGGCGAAGGCGGCUAUCUGGACAGAGUCUGACGCUGAGGCGCGAAAGCUAGGGGAGCAAACAGG
This 253-nucleotide ribosomal RNA is filed under the name uncultured bacterium. RNAcentral's name for it is "partial 16S ribosomal RNA". It matches the Rfam family "Bacterial small subunit ribosomal RNA", at positions 524 to 776 of the family's 1533-position model. The record is from RNAcentral.